AAGCGCUUGUAGCCAGACUUGCUCGCGGCGGCUUCGCCGGGUGUCCCACCCGGUUUACUCCGCCGCGUUCGGGCCAGCAUCAGUUUGGGCGGUCGGAAAAAGGCUUCGGGAAUGUAGUUCCCCUCGGGGAGUGUUAUAGCCCGUCGUGAAAUACGGCCAGUCCGGACUGAGGUCAGCGCUUUUGCGAGGAUGCUGGCGUAAUGGCUAUAAGCGG
Molecule: ribosomal RNA, 214 nt
Filed under: Hysteriales sp.
Lineage: Eukaryota; Fungi; Ascomycota; Dothideomycetes; Hysteriales
Description: partial large subunit ribosomal RNA
Source: RNAcentral